CAGCAGUCGGAGUGAGUUUGAUCACUGGUAAUGCAAGAAGAAAAGCAGAGAAAUGGCAGCAAACCAUGGCAAAUCUUCGAUGAGGAAAAAUCAAAGAAGUUGAGGCCUUUAAAUAGAGUUUUAGGACUCAUUAUCGGAGAAGAACUCCUUCAAGAGUUCUCUCCUAGAAUUCCUGGGUUCCCACGGUAAUUCUAGCUUUUUUUUUCUAGCACAUGUAAAGCAUGUGUUGGCCUUUUGGAUUCUC
Molecule: long non-coding RNA, 244 nt
Filed under: Elaeis guineensis (African oil palm)
Lineage: Eukaryota; Viridiplantae; Streptophyta; Magnoliopsida; Arecales; Arecaceae
Description: long non-coding RNA (EGUI_LNC014583)
Source: RNAcentral